RNAcentral lists this ribosomal RNA (424 nucleotides) under Kempynus incisus. Its description in RNAcentral is "partial large subunit ribosomal RNA". The record is from RNAcentral. Lineage: Eukaryota; Metazoa; Arthropoda; Insecta; Neuroptera; Osmylidae.
CACUGAUUUAUUAAAGGGCCGCGGUAUUUUGACUGUGCAAAGGUAGCAUAAUCAUUUGUCUUUUAAUUGAAGGCUGGAAUGAAGGGUUGAAUGAGGUAUUAACUGUCUCAGUUUAAAAAAAAUAAAAAUUUAAUUUUUUAGUCAAAAAGCUAAAAUAAUUUUAAAAGACGAGAAGACCCUAUAGAUCUUUAUAAUUAUAAAUUAAAAAAAUUUUUAGAAUAAAAAUUUUUAUUUUAAUAUAAAUUAUUUUGUUGGGGUGACAGGAAAAUUUAAUAAACUAUUUUUAUUUAAAACCAAUAAUUUUUGAAAAUUUGAUCCAAUAAUAUUGAUUAAAAAAUUAAGUUACCUUAGGGAUAACAGCGUAAUUUUUUUAGAGAGUUCUUAUCGAUAAAAAAGAUUGCGACCUCGAUGUUGAAUUAAAGGU